CCUACGGGUGGCAGCAGUGAGGAAUAUUGGUCAAUGGGCGAGAGCCUGAACCAGCCAAGUCGCGUGAGGGAGUACUGCCCUAUGGGUUGUAAACCUCUUUUGUCGGGGAGCAAAAGCCGGACGUUUCCGGCUGUGAGAGUACCCGAAGAAAACGCAUCGGCUAACUCCGUGCCAGCAGCCGCGGUAAUACGGAGGAUGCGAGCGUUAUCCGGAUUUAUUGGGUUUAAAGGGUGCGCAGGCGGAUUGUUAAGUCAGCGGUAAAAUCGUGGGGCUCAACCCCAUCCAGCCGUUGAAACUGGGGAUCUAGAGUGUGCGAGAGGUAUGCGGAAUGCGUGGUGUAGCGGUGAAAUGCAUAGAUAUCACGCAGAACCCCGAUUGCGAAGGCAGCAUACCGGUGCACAACUGACGCUCAGGCACGAAAGCGUGGGUAUCGAACAGGAUUAGAUACCCGAGUAGUC
Molecule: ribosomal RNA, 458 nt
Filed under: uncultured bacterium
Lineage: Bacteria
Description: partial 16S ribosomal RNA
Rfam family: Bacterial small subunit ribosomal RNA
Source: RNAcentral